RNAcentral lists this ribosomal RNA (395 nucleotides) under uncultured bacterium. RNAcentral's name for it is "bacterial SSU rRNA". It matches the Rfam family "Bacterial small subunit ribosomal RNA", at positions 358 to 770 of the family's 1533-position model. The record is from RNAcentral.
GGAAUAUUGGACAAUGGGCGAAAGCCUGAUCCAGCAAUACCGCGUGAGUGAUUAAGGCCUUAGGGUUGUAAAGCUCUUUCACCGGGGACGAUAAUGACGGUACCCGGAGAAGCAGCACCGGCUAACUCCGUGCCAGCAGCCGCGGUAAUACGGAGGGGGCUAGCGUUGUUCGGAAUUACUGGGCGUAAAGCGCGCGUAGGCGGCUGUGCAAGUGGGGCGUGAAAGCCCGGGGCUCAACCCCGGAAUUGCGCUCAAGACUGCACGGCUCGAGUCCGGGAGAGGAGAGUGGAAUUCCCAGUGUAGAGGUGAAAUUCGUAGAUAUUGGGAAGAACACCAGUGGCGAAGGCGGCUCUCUGGCCCGGUACUGACGCUGAGGCGCGAAAGCGUGGGUAGCA